RNAcentral lists this ribosomal RNA (253 nucleotides) under uncultured bacterium. RNAcentral describes it as "partial 16S ribosomal RNA". It matches the Rfam family "Bacterial small subunit ribosomal RNA", at positions 524 to 776 of the family's 1533-position model. The record is from RNAcentral.
UACGUAGGGGGCAAGCGUUGUCCGGAUUUAUUGGGCGUAAAGAGCGCGUAGGCGGCCAAGCAGGUCCGCUGUGAAAACUCGAGGCUCAACCUCGAGACGUCGGUGGAAACCGUUUGGCUAGAGUCCGGAAGAGGAGAGUGGAAUUCCCGGUGUAGCGGUGAAAUGCGCAGAUAUCGGGAAGAACACCCGUGGCGAAGGCGGCUCUCUGGGACGGUACUGACGCUGAGGCGCGAAAGCGUGGGGAGCGAACAGG